This 776-nucleotide ribosomal RNA is filed under the name uncultured Neocallimastigales. RNAcentral describes it as "partial large subunit ribosomal RNA". The stretch from base 5 to 695 matches the Rfam family "Eukaryotic large subunit ribosomal RNA", at positions 24 to 664 of the family's 3401-position model. Lineage: Eukaryota; Fungi; Neocallimastigomycota; Neocallimastigomycetes; Neocallimastigales. The record is from RNAcentral.
CAUAGCGACUAUCGUGGCAUAUCAAUAAGCGGAGGAAAAGAAACUAACAAGGAUUCCCUUAGUAACGGCGAGUGAAGCGGGAAGAGCUCAAAUUUGAAAUCUUCAAGGUUCUACCUUGACGAAUUGUAGUUUAAUAGAAGUGUUUUCUGUUAGUAGGAGUGGCAAAAGUUCUUUGGAAUAGGACAUCAUAGAGGGUGAGAAUCCCGUAUUUGGUCAUUCUUCCUAGCUUUGUGAUACACUUUCAACGAGUCGGAUUGUUUGGGAAUGCAGUCCAAAAUGGGUGGUAAAUUUCAUCUAAAGCUAAAUAUUGGCGAGAGACCGAUAGCGAACAAGUACCGUGAGGGAAAGAUGAAAAGAACUUUGAAAAGAGAGUUAAACAGUACGUGAAAUUGUCAAAAGGGAAGCGUUUGACACCAGUGUUGUUUUCUCGAAAAUCAAUUAAAAAUGAUGGGAUUUUGUGUUGUAUUGACUUUAUCAGCUUUCUGCACUUUUUUCUUAUCUUUUUUAAUGCACUUUUCGUUUAACAAGUCAACAUCAAUUUCUUUUGUUGUAAAAGAGUCAUUGGAAGGUGGCUUUUUCUUCGGAAAAAGUGUUUAUAGCCUUUGGCUUCUGCAAUCGGAGAGAUUGAGGUCUGCAGCGUAGAUCCUUCGGGGUUAGAUACACUUGUGCUAAGCUAUAGUUCUUUAUAGACAACUUGUUGACUAUAAUCAAUCCUGUAACUUACUCGCUUAUGCUAUUUUACCUACGCUUAGGAUGUUGACGAGACUGUCGAUCUC